GACGAACGCUGGCGGCGUGCCUAAUACAUGCAAGUUGAGCGCUGAAGGUUGGUACUUGUACCAACUGGAUGAGCAGCGAACGGGUGAGUAACGCGUGGGGAAUCUGCCUUUGAGCGGGGGACAACAUUUGGAAACGAAUGCUAAUACCGCAUAAAAACUUUAAACACAAGUUUUAAGUUUGAAAGAUGCAAUUGCAUCACUCAAAGAUGAUCCCGCGUUGUAUUAGCUAGUUGGUGAGGUAAAGGCUCACCAAGGCGAUGAUACAUAGCCGACCUGAGUGGGUGAUCGGCCACAUUGGGACUGAGACACGGCCCAAACUCCUACGGGAGGCAGCAGUAGGGAAUCUUCGGCAAUGGACGAAAGUCUGACCGAGCAACGCCGCGUGAGUGAAGAAGGUUUUCGGAUCGUAAAACUCUGUUGGUAGAGAAGAACGUUGGUGAGAGUGGAAAGCUCAUCAAGUGACGGUAACUACCCAGAAAGGGACGGCUAACUACGUG
Molecule: ribosomal RNA, 497 nt
Filed under: uncultured bacterium
Lineage: Bacteria
Description: partial 16S ribosomal RNA
Rfam family: Bacterial small subunit ribosomal RNA
Source: RNAcentral